Molecule: ribosomal RNA, 818 nt
Filed under: Eobania vermiculata
Lineage: Eukaryota; Metazoa; Mollusca; Gastropoda; Stylommatophora; Helicidae
Description: Massylaea vermiculata partial 16S ribosomal RNA
Source: RNAcentral
AUGGAUUUACUAUAAUAUACUUGUAUAGGUGUUCACGAAUGGAUGCGAGCUAGGUAUGUAACGAUAUUAGUCUACAGUGUAAUACGUAGUAUAGUAUUUACUAUAUACAUAUCUUGGGGUGAUAGGCUUUUCAAGCUUCCUGAUAACUUGAUGUGUAAGAAAAAUAUUAAGUAUUAAAUCAAACUAUUAAAGUUAAGCUUGGUAGUUAAUAUAAAUAGAAUAUUAUACUUAUGCCGCUAAAGCUUAAUCCCUGAGCUGUAAUAUACUUUAUUAUAAAGCAUUUGUUUUUAUAUACAUUAUUACAUUAUAUUUUUGCAGUUAAAAUAGAAAAUGUAAAUAUAAGUAAUUAUUAACUUUGUUUUUAAGGAACUCGGCAAAUAGGUUACUCAACUGUUUAUCAAAAACAUAACUAUAUGACAUAAUAUAUAGCGCUUCUGCUCAAUGGAACUCUAAAUAGCCGCAGUACUCUGACUGUGCAAAGGUAGCAUAAUCAAUUGGCCUCUAAUUAAGGUCUGGAAUGAACGAACUUAUGGGUAGCAACUGUCUUAAAAUAGUUAAUUAAAUUGAUUAAUAAGUGCAAAUACUUAUUCAAUUAUAUUAGACGAGAAGACCCUAGAAACUUAUAAUUAUUUUGUUGGGGCGACAGAAUUACAUAAAACUAAUUUUAUCUUACAAGACGAAAAACAGAAAGAAAAAGUUACUCUAGGGAUAACAGCAUAAUUUUACAUAGCUUGUGACCUCGAUGUUGGACUAGGUAGAUAGUUUUUUAGAAGAAAGCUUUCUUGGCUCUGUUCGAGCAAUUUAACCUACAUGAUCUG